GGACUGUGACGACUUAUAUCUAUUGGUCUCGUUCGUCGUAAUGGUGUUUAAAACCACCUUGCCGACCAUUCUGAUAUAUCACCACCCAUAAACUGAGUCC
Solanum lycopersicum (tomato) is the source of this 100-nucleotide non-coding RNA. Lineage: Eukaryota; Viridiplantae; Streptophyta; Magnoliopsida; Solanales; Solanaceae. The record is from Rfam.